CCAAAGGCCCUUUUUAGGGCCGCCCACUUUCUCCCAGAAAGAGCUGU
This is a non-coding RNA of Camelus ferus (Wild Bactrian camel), 47 nucleotides long. The record is from Rfam. NCBI's taxonomy places the organism in Eukaryota, Metazoa, Chordata, Mammalia, Artiodactyla, Camelidae.